GUGCCAUGCGGAGGGGGAAACGUUAGCACUCCCCUUGACGAGGAUGAAAGAGGCCCUUUGGCCUGACAACACACAUACGGUCAAGGCAUCGCCACCUGCUUCCUGGCAUCUAACCACUGUUUCUG
Small nuclear RNA from Oryctolagus cuniculus (rabbit), 125 nucleotides. The record is from Ensembl. NCBI's taxonomy places the organism in Eukaryota, Metazoa, Chordata, Mammalia, Lagomorpha, Leporidae.